This is a long non-coding RNA of Oreochromis aureus, 1940 nucleotides long. Lineage: Eukaryota; Metazoa; Chordata; Actinopteri; Cichliformes; Cichlidae. The record is from Ensembl.
GUUUGAACUCCUCAGAGUGGGGUUGUCUUGGAUCUUCCACAGGUUUAGGAACAGCUUCAGCCUUGGCCGUCUCCACAUCUAAAGCAUCAGUCAGUCUAAUAGCUGCGUGCUCUGUGUUAUCCAAAACACCUUCUGCAUCUGAAGCAGCUACUUGGUCAAGGGCAUCUUCAAUGUUCAACUCUUUGUCACAGUCUGCUGCUGUCUUAGGUGUUGCAUCAAAACUUUGUUCAACAACAGUGCCAUCAUCUUCGCGCUCAACCGCCUCUUCAGGUCCGCUCUUAAAAACCGGCUCAGAGGGUGGUGCAGACUCGACUUUAAACUCCACACUCUUGGCAGUGUCAGCAUCGGAUUGACUAGAUGGUGCAGGCAGAGUGUCGGUAACUGAUAUGGUGCUGUUUUGUAGAGCAGUUUCUUCUUCUGGUGUUGCAUCAAAACUUUGUUCAACAACAGUGCCAUCAUCUUCGCACUCAACCGCCUCUUCAGGUCCGCUCUUAAAAACCGGCUCAGAGGGUGGUGCAGACUCGACUUUAAACUCCACACUCUUGGCAGUGUCAGCAUCGGAUUGACUAGAUGGUGCAGGCAGAGUGUCGGUGACUGAUAUGGUGCUGUUUUGUAGAGCAGUUUCUUCUUCUGGUGUUGCAUCACUUACAGCGGGUGUUUCCACACCGCCUUGGAGAGAAGUUUCUUUCCCUGAUGUUGCCAAAGCAGGUGGUCCAUACAUGUUUACUCCUGCAUGCUCUAAAUUAGUUGUAUUCGGCGGUUCUCUUUUGAUUACAGAUUCUCCAGGGACUCCAGCGGUGCUCUUACUCUUGCUACUCUCUCUCACUGUGCCUUCCGCAGCAGAGAUUUCUGCAGGGGGAUUUUUCACAUCAGCCUCUGCGGAGGCCUUAUCCUCAUUGUGACAGGUGUCAGCUGGUGCAUCAGCAUGUUGUUCCGUGUUUUCUGCAGUUGCUUCAGAGUGGGGUUGUCUUGGAUCUUCCGCAGGUUUAGGAACAGCUUCAGCCUUGGCCAUCUCCACAUCUAAAGCAUCAGUCAGUCUAAUAGCUGCGUGCUCUGUGUUAUCCAAAACACCUUCUGCAUCUGAAGCAGCUACUUGGUCAAGGGCAUCUUCAGUGUUCAACUCUUUGUCACAGUCUCCUGCUGUCUUAGGUGUUGGAUCAAAACUUUGUUCAACAACAGUGCCAUCAUCUUCGCGCUCAACCGCCUCUUCAGUUCCACUCUUAAAAACCGGCUCAGAGGGUGGUGCAGACUCGACUUUAAACUCCACACUCUUGGCAGUGUCAGCAUCGGAUUGACUAGAUGGUGCAGGCAGAGUGUCGGUGACUGAUAUGGUGCUGUUUUGUAGAGCAGUUUCUUCUUCUGGUGUUGCAUCACUUACAGCGGGUGUUUCCACACCGCCUUGGAGAGAAGUUUCUUUCCCUGAUGUUGCCAAAGCAGGUGGUCCAUACAUGUUUACUCCUGCAUGCUCUAAAUUAGUUGUAUUCGGCGGUUCUCUUUUGAUUACAGAUUCUCCAGGGACUCCAGCGGUGCUCUUACUCUUGCUACUCUCUCUCACUGUGCCUUCCGCAGCAGAGAUUUCUGCAGGGGGAUUUUUCACAUCAGCAUCUGCGGAGGCCUUAUCCUCAUUGUGACAGGUGUCAGCUGGUGCAUCAGCAUGUUGUUCCGUAUUUUCUGCAGUUGCUUCAGUAAAUGUCUUUUCUGGCUGUGCAUUAAAAUUUUGAAUAGGUGCUUUUGUGGGGGGUUGAGGCCUGUAAAAGAGAGUGUUACUUCUUCCUAACUUUGCAACAAAAAAAGAGAUUUGUAAGCAAAAUAACAAACACUCAGCAUCUUUAAAUUUAACACUUCCGGUUACAGUCUCGUAUACUAACUUUGUCUUCACUGUUGAGCCUUCAGGCCGAGUGUCAUUGGGAGCAGGAAUAUUUUCAGCACUUGCCUGAUUA